Molecule: transfer RNA, 65 nt
Filed under: marine eukaryotic metagenome
Rfam family: tRNA
About the family: Transfer RNA (tRNA) molecules are approximately 80 nucleotides in length. Their secondary structure includes four short double-helical elements and three loops (D, anti-codon, and T loops).
Source: RNAcentral
CCUGUAGCUUAAAUGGAUAAAGCGCCAGUUUCCGGAGCUGAAGAUAUAGGUUCAAUUCCUAUCAG